CAAGCGGUGGAGCAUGUGGUUUAAUUCGAUGCAACGCGAAGAACCUUACCUGGUCUUGACAUCCACAGAAUCUUGCAGAGAUGCGAGAGUGCCUUCGGGAACUGUGAGACAGGUGCUGCAUGGCUGUCGUCAGCUCGUGUUGUGAAAUGUUGGAUUAAGUCCCGCAACGAGCGCAACCCUUAUCCUUUGUUGCCAUUGGUUCGGCCGGGAACUCAAAGGAGACUGCCGUUGAUAAAGCGGAGGAAGGUGGGGACGACGUCAAGUCAUCAUGGCCCUUACGACCAGGGCUACACACGUGCUACAAUGGCGUAUACAAAGGGAGGCGACCUCGCGAGAGCAAGCGGACCUCAUAAAGUACGUCUAAGUCCGGAUUGGAGUCUGCAACCCGACUCCAUGAAGUCGGAAUCGCUAGUAAUCGUGAAUCAGAAUGUCACGGUGAAUACGUUCCCGGGCCUUGUACACACC
Molecule: ribosomal RNA, 465 nt
Filed under: uncultured bacterium
Lineage: Bacteria
Description: bacterial SSU rRNA
Rfam family: Bacterial small subunit ribosomal RNA
Source: RNAcentral